RNAcentral lists this ribosomal RNA (253 nucleotides) under uncultured bacterium. RNAcentral describes it as "partial 16S ribosomal RNA". It matches the Rfam family "Bacterial small subunit ribosomal RNA", at positions 524 to 776 of the family's 1533-position model. The record is from RNAcentral.
UACGAAGGGGGCUAGCGUUGUUCGGAGUUACUGGGCGUAAAGAGUGCGUAGGCGGUCCUGUAAGUUUGGUGUGAAAUCUCCCGGCUCAACUGGGAGGGUGCGCCGAAGACUGCAGGGCUUGAGUAUGGGAGAGGUAAGCGGAAUUCCUGGUGUAGCGGUGAAAUGCGUAGAUAUCAGGAGGAACACCUGUGGUGUAGACAGCUUACUGGACCAUCACUGACGCUGAGGCACGAAAGCUAGGGGAGCAAACAGG